UACGGGGGAGCAAGCGUUGUUCGGAAUUACUGGGCGUAAAGGGCUCGUAGGCGGCCAACUAAGUCAGACGUGAAAUCCCUCAGCUUAACUGGGGAACUGCGUCUGAUACUGGAUGGCUUGAGUUUGGGAGAGGGAUGCGGAAUUCCAGGUGUAGCGGUGAAAUGCGUAGAUAUCUGGAGGAACACCGGUGGCGAAGGCGGCAUCCUGGACCAACACUGACACUGAGGAGCGAAAGCCAGGGGAGCAAACAGG
RNAcentral lists this ribosomal RNA (252 nucleotides) under uncultured bacterium. Its description in RNAcentral is "partial 16S ribosomal RNA". It matches the Rfam family "Bacterial small subunit ribosomal RNA", at positions 524 to 776 of the family's 1533-position model. The record is from RNAcentral.